This 237-nucleotide long non-coding RNA is filed under the name Malus domestica (apple). RNAcentral describes it as "long non-coding RNA (MDOM_LNC004692)". The record is from RNAcentral. Lineage: Eukaryota; Viridiplantae; Streptophyta; Magnoliopsida; Rosales; Rosaceae.
ACUAGUGAAUAGUUGCUUCAACCCUGCUUUCUUCUUGAGUAGGCUGUCUAAUGCAAUAUAGUUGGUGGCGAAUCGAGUGGUAGUUGGACGAAUAAUUUCUUCUUUGCAAAAUUCACGCAUCUUUGCCAAUAACCAACCGUGAUUGUAAAUAUAAUUUGUGAUCGUUCUAGCUCUUUUGAUCACAGUAGCAACAUUCUCUCUUUUCCCCAUUGCCUCAAACAUGAGAUCAAUACAAUG